ACAACGGCGGCGAUAACACCGUCGUUUAUAACGAUGUGCGCAGCGGUGCAGCAAACGAUUAUCUCGUUGGAAUUGUCCGUUCGGAAGAUCACGGCAGUAAGCAACAGCAGCAUUGUAAACGAAGGAAUGGUUUGUUUGUUUGGUUUUUUUUUUUUUUUUUAAUUAGCAGUCGCAACAAUUAUAUUAUGUUCGCAGAACAAGUUUUGAACGAGUGAAUCGGACUACCGUUACACCGCACUAUUCGGGAUCACGGAACAAAUAGUGUAAUUUAUUUGCUAUAGUGCCAUACUCGUGGUUCGAGUAGAAUAGCUGAUUGAUGGGUACCUAUAGUCGCGGACCGGUAAAAAAAUGGCAAGGGACGCUGUACAAAAUUGCAGGACGAAUAGUUAUUGAGACAAAUGUAAUGAUAAUAACAAUAAAACGCAUUUUAAAAAUCCCACAUACGAGUAAACUCCGUACCACGGG
Molecule: non-coding RNA, 465 nt
Organism: Cinara cedri
Lineage: Eukaryota; Metazoa; Arthropoda; Insecta; Hemiptera; Aphididae
Source: the annotation of a GenBank genome assembly